UGGGGAAUUUUGGACAAUGGGGGAAACCCUGAUCCAGCCAUUCCGCGUGAGUGAAGAAGGCCUUCGGGUUGUAAAGCUCUUUUGUCCGGAACGAAACGGUUGGCGUGAAUAUCGCCGACUACUGACGGUACCGGAAGAAUAAGCACCGGCUAACUACGUGCCAGCAGCCGCGGUAAUACGUAGGGUGCGAGCGUUAAUCGGAAUUACUGGGCGUAAAGCGUGCGCAGGCGGUUUUGUAAGCCAGAUGUGAAAUCCCCGGGCUUAACCUGGGAAUGGCAUUUGGGACUGCAAGGCUGGAGUGUGGCAGAGGAGACUGGAAUUCCUGGUGUAGCAGUGAAAUGCGUAGAUAUCAGGAGGAAUACCGAUGGCGAAGGCAGGUCUCUGGGCUGACACUGACGCUCAUGCACGAAAGCGUGGGGAGCAAACAGGAUUAGAUACCCUGGUAGUCCACGCCGUAAACGAUGUGUGCUGGAUGUUGGGCGGUCUGACCGUUCAGUGUCGUAGCUAACGCGAUAAGCACACCGCCUGGGGAGUACGGCCGCAAGGUUG
Molecule: ribosomal RNA, 549 nt
Filed under: uncultured bacterium
Lineage: Bacteria
Description: bacterial SSU rRNA
Rfam family: Bacterial small subunit ribosomal RNA
Source: RNAcentral